Molecule: ribosomal RNA, 442 nt
Filed under: uncultured soil bacterium
Lineage: Bacteria
Description: bacterial SSU rRNA
Rfam family: Bacterial small subunit ribosomal RNA
Source: RNAcentral
AGAUUGAACGCUGGCGGCAGGCCUAACACAUGCAAGUCGAGCGGCAGCACGGGUACUUGUACCUGGUGGCGAGCGGCGGACGGGUGAGUAAUGCCUAGGAAUCUGCCUGGUAGUGGGGGAUAACGCUCGGAAACGGACGCUAAUACCGCAUACGUCCUACGGGAGAAAGCAGGGGACCUUCGGGCCUUGCGCUAUCAGAUGAGCCUUAGGUCGGAUUAGCUAGUUGGUGAGGUAAUGGCUCACCAAGGCGACGAUCCGUAACUGGUCUGAGAGGAUGAUCAGUCACACUGGAACUGAGACACGGUCCAGACUCCUACGGGAGCAGCAGUGGGAAUAUUGGACAAUGGGCGAAAGCCUGAUCCAGCCAUGCCGCGUGUGUGAAGAAAGUCUACGGAUUGUAAAGCACGUUUAAGGUGGAGAAGGCAGUUACUAAUACGUAUUC